UUCACCACAUUGUGAACCAAUCACUUUACAUGCAUUUUUCUCUCAUGAAAUAAAUUUGCCAAAACUCAAGAUCAGAUCAUUCACAGAAAAUCCAACUAUCAUCAGCUUUCUUUCCUCUCCAAAAAAUUCAUUCAAAUCACAAGCAUCUCUUCAAGAAAGUACACAGUCUGUCCACUUGUUAGAAGGUUUUAGCACUGGUUUUACAAGAAGAGAAUUGUUCAAAUUUUAUCUACAGGCUUGUCCUAUCAAGGUGGGUUUUAUUUUCCAAAGUAUGCUUUGAGUUAUUGAACUCUACUUGUAUUAUGCAAAUGCAAAUGAAUAUCCAUGUUAAAAUGUUUCUUAUAUCUCUAUUGUUUAAAGUGCUCCUAUGUUAUCUAACGAUCGGGUCCUAGCCGGCGUAGCGAUUGGAUCGCCCUGGUUAGGAUUGUGUACACACAAAGGGGUAUUGUGGGCUGCUCCCACUUGCCUCAGACUGUCAGACUUGGUUUGCUCCCAUUUCUGAAACAUGCAUGGUAGUGGACCUCUGUGGGCUGCUCCCACAUGUUCACAUUAUAGGUGAAGCACCAAUAGAGAGAAGACUGGAAAUGGAUCCACAAAUUUAUUUUAAGUAUGCAUGGAAUGCUUUCAAAUAUUUCUAUGUUAUACUGUUCAUAGCAUGGAUUAUUCUUUUAAAUGGAUUUUCAAAUGUUUUCAAAUGGCUAAACCCACUGAGUAUAUUAGUACUCAGCCCUGCAAUUGUUUUCAAAACCUUUUGCAGGUUGAGCGGCAGGUGGUGUUGUGCGAGGCUGAGGGAGGAUGUUGCUGUAGUUCCAUAUAAUAAUUUCCGCUGCCAUAAUAUUCACUUAGGUGGAUAUCUUUUGAGAUUAACUCUUUAAAUAUUCUUAGCCUAAUUAUUAUGAACUCUUUUGGCAAUCGCAUUUUCUAGCAACUGAACCUCGCAUAUAUGUAUGUCUAAAAUGAAGUGUUAUCUUGUUGUCUCA
Salvia miltiorrhiza (redroot sage) is the source of this 980-nucleotide long non-coding RNA. RefSeq lists it as uncharacterized. The record is from RefSeq and is a predicted model, not a curated record. The transcript is spliced from 2 exons. NCBI's taxonomy places the organism in Eukaryota, Viridiplantae, Streptophyta, Magnoliopsida, Lamiales, Lamiaceae.